GUGAAUCAUCGAAUCUUUGAACGCAAAUUGCACUCUCUUCGGAGAGUAUGCCUGUUUGAGGGUCAGUAUUAAUAAAAAAUCGGUUUGGUUGCAAAUUGUGUCUUUUCCGGAGUUUGUGCUUAUCUUAACUUUUUUGGUUAAGGGGCUUAAAAUUGACCUUUUUUGCGCAUUUUUAUACGUACAUAUAUUUUUUUUUAUUCGUCUAUUCUUAAUUCCAACUUCUUAUUAUAUUCAAUCAUAUCGUUUGGCUUCGUUUCCU
Molecule: unclassified non-coding RNA, 259 nt
Filed under: Rhizophagus sp. (in: glomeromycetes)
Lineage: Eukaryota; Fungi; Glomeromycota; Glomeromycetes; Glomerales; Glomeraceae
Description: partial contains 5.8S ribosomal RNA and internal transcribed spacer 2
Rfam family: 5.8S ribosomal RNA (bases 1-65)
Source: RNAcentral